Molecule: ribosomal RNA, 367 nt
Filed under: uncultured bacterium
Lineage: Bacteria
Description: bacterial SSU rRNA
Rfam family: Bacterial small subunit ribosomal RNA
Source: RNAcentral
AGGAAGGUAGUGUAGUUAACACCUGCACAUUUGACGUUACCUACAGAAGAAGCACCGGCUAACUCCGUGCCAGCAGCCGCGGUAAUACGGAGGGGUGCGAGCGUUAAUCGGAAUUACUGGGCGUAAAGCGCAUGCAGGCGGCCUGUUAAGUCAGAUGUGAAAGACCCGGGGCGUUAACCUCCGGAAAUUGCAUUUGUAAACUAGGCAGGCUAGAGUCUUGUAGAGGGGGGUAGGAAGUUUCAGGUGUAGCGGUGAAAUAGCGUAGAGAUCUGAAGGAAUACCAGUGGCGAAGGCGGCCCCCUCGGACAAAGACUGACGCUCAGAUGCGAAAGCGUGGGGAGCAAACAGGAUUAGAUACCCCUGGUAG